This 478-nucleotide ribosomal RNA is filed under the name uncultured bacterium. RNAcentral's name for it is "partial 16S ribosomal RNA". It matches the Rfam family "Bacterial small subunit ribosomal RNA", at positions 28 to 523 of the family's 1533-position model. The record is from RNAcentral.
GACGAACGCUGGCGGCGUGCUUAACACAUGCAAGUCGAGCGGUAAGGCCCUUCGGGGUACACGAGUGGCGAACGGGUGAGUAACACGUGGGUGAUCUGCCCUGCACUUCGGGAUAAGCCUGGGAAACUGGGUCUAAUACCGGAUAGGACCACUGCCUGCAUGGGUGGUGGUGGAAAGCUUUUGCGGUGUGGGAUGGGCCCGCGGCCUAUCAGCUUGUUGGUGGGGUGAUGGCCUACCAAGGCGACGACGGGUAGCCGGCCUGAGAGGGUGACCGGCCACACUGGGACGUGGAUACGGCCCAGACUCCUACGGGAGGCAGCAGUGGGGAAUAUUGCACAAUGGGCGCAAGCCUGAUGCAGCGACGCCGCGUGAGGGAUGACGGCCUUCGGGUUGUAAACCUCUUUCAGCACCGACGAAGCGCAAGUGACGGUAGGUGCAGAAGAAGGACCGGCCAACUACGUGCCAGCCGCCGCAGUAA